CCUACGGGAGGCAGCAGUAGGGAAUAUUGCUCAAUGGGGGAAACCCUGAAGCAGCAACGCCGCGUGGAGGAUGAAGGUUUUCGGAUUGGAAACGCCUUUUGUUAGAGAAGAGAAUGACGGUAUCUAACGAAUAAGCACCGGCUAACUCCGUGCCAGCAGCCGCGGUAAUACGGAGGGUGCAAGCGUUACUCGGAAUCACUGGGCGUAAAGAGCGCGUAGGCGGGAUAGCAAGUCAGAUGUGAAAUCCUAUGGCUUAACCAUAGAACUGCAUUUGAAACUGUUAUUCUAGAGUAUGGGAGAGGUAGGUGGAAUUCUUGGUGUAGGGGUCAAAUCCGUAGAGAUCACGCGGAAUACUCAUUGCGAAGGCGACCUGCUAGAACAUAACUGACGCUGAUGCGCGAAAGCGUGGGGAGCAAACAGGAUUAGAUACCCGGGUAGUC
RNAcentral lists this ribosomal RNA (440 nucleotides) under uncultured bacterium. Its description in RNAcentral is "partial 16S ribosomal RNA". It matches the Rfam family "Bacterial small subunit ribosomal RNA", at positions 338 to 795 of the family's 1533-position model. The record is from RNAcentral.